Molecule: ribosomal RNA, 392 nt
Filed under: Enterobacter cloacae
Lineage: Bacteria; Pseudomonadati; Pseudomonadota; Gammaproteobacteria; Enterobacterales; Enterobacteriaceae
Description: bacterial SSU rRNA
Rfam family: Bacterial small subunit ribosomal RNA
Source: RNAcentral
GCCGCGUGUAUGAAGAAGGCCUUCGGGUUGUAAAGUACUUUCAGCGGGGAGGAAGGUGUUGAGGUUAAUAACCUCAGCAAUUGACGUUACCCGCAGAAGAAGCACCGGCUAACUCCGUGCCAGCAGCCGCGGUAAUACGGAGGGUGCAAGCGUUAAUCGGAAUUACUGGGCGUAAAGCGCACGCAGGCGGUCUGUCAAGUCGGAUGUGAAAUCCCCGGGCUCAACCUGGGAACUGCAUUCGAAACUGGCAGGCUAGAGUCUUGUAGAGGGGGGUAGAAUUCCAGGUGUAGCGGUGAAAUGCGUAGAGAUCUGGAGGAAUACCGGUGGCGAAGGCGGCCCCCUGGACAAAGACUGACGCUCAGGUGCGAAAGCGUGGGGAGCAAACAGGAUUA